CUUCUACUCCCUCCGUCCAACAAAGAAUGUCUCAACUUUGACUAAAUUUAAAUGCAUUCAUACACUGAGAAAUGUCUAAAUACAUCCAAAUUUUGACAAACUUGAGACAUCUUUUGUUGAUGGAGGGAGUAUUGG
Molecule: non-coding RNA, 135 nt
Organism: Brachypodium distachyon (stiff brome)
Lineage: Eukaryota; Viridiplantae; Streptophyta; Magnoliopsida; Poales; Poaceae
Source: Rfam